RNAcentral lists this ribosomal RNA (451 nucleotides) under uncultured bacterium. RNAcentral's name for it is "bacterial SSU rRNA". It matches the Rfam family "Bacterial small subunit ribosomal RNA", at positions 354 to 796 of the family's 1533-position model. The record is from RNAcentral.
GUGGGGAAUAUUGGACAAUGGGGGGAACCCUGAUCCAGCCAUGCCGCGUGUGUGAAGAAGGCCUUUUGGUUGUAAAGCACUUUAAGCGAGGAGGAGGCUACCGAGAUUAAUACUCUUGGAUAGUGGACGUUACUCGCAGAAUAAGCACCGGCUAACUCUGUGCCAGCAGCCGCGGUAAUACAGAGGGUGCAAGCGUUAAUCGGAUUUACUGGGCGUACAGCGCGCGUAGGUGGCCAAUUAAGUCAAAUGUGAAAUCCCCGAGCUUAACUUGGGAAUUGCAUUCGAUACUGGUUGGCUAGAGUAUGGGAGAGGAUGGUAGAAUUCCAGGUGUAGCGGUGAAAUGCGUAGAGAUCUGGAGGAAUACCGAUGGCGAAGGCAGCCAUCUGGCCUAAUACUGACACUGAGGUGCGAAAGCAUGGGGAGCAAACAGGAUUAGAAACCCUGGUAGUCC